This 207-nucleotide ribosomal RNA is filed under the name uncultured bacterium. RNAcentral describes it as "partial 16S ribosomal RNA". It matches the Rfam family "Bacterial small subunit ribosomal RNA", at positions 568 to 774 of the family's 1533-position model. The record is from RNAcentral.
AGCGCAGGCGGGAAGACAAGCUGGAAGUGAAAUCUAUGGGCUCAACCCAUAAACUGCUUUCAAAACUGUUUUUCUUGAGUAGUGCAGAGGUAGGCGGAAUUCCCGGUGUAGCGGUGGAAUGCGUAGAUAUCGGGAGGAACACCAGUGGCGAAGGCGGCCUACUGGGCACCAACUGACGCUGAGGCUCGAAAGUGUGGGUAGCAAACA